AUACGUAGGGGGCGAGCGUUGUCCGGAAUGAUUGGGCGUAAAGGGCGCGUAGGCGGCGCGGUAAGUCUGGAGUGAAAGUCCUGCUUUCAAGGUGGGAAUUGCUUUGGAUACUGUCGGGCUUGAGUGCAGGAGAGGUAAGUGGAAUUCCCAGUGUAGCGGUGAAAUGCGUAGAGAUUGGGAGGAACACCAGUGGCGAAGGCGACUUACAGGACUGUAACUGACGCUGAGGCGCGAAAGUGUGGGGAGCAAACAGGAUUAGAUACCCUGGUAGUCCACACUGUAAACGAUGAAUGCUAGGUGUAGGGGGUAUCGACCCCUUCUGUGCCGCAGUCAACACAAUAAGCAUUCCGCCUGGGGAGUACGGCCGCAAGGUUGAAACUUAAAGGAAUUGACGGGG
This 397-nucleotide ribosomal RNA is filed under the name uncultured bacterium. RNAcentral describes it as "partial 16S ribosomal RNA". It matches the Rfam family "Bacterial small subunit ribosomal RNA", at positions 523 to 918 of the family's 1533-position model. The record is from RNAcentral.